GUACUUGCGUAUACGUUUCUCUUGGGAAUGACUUCAAGAAUCGAGCCCCUGAUUCUUUUCCUCUGGGUCACUUUCUAGAACUGGCCAAUCACAGUUAUUCCCUUCUUCAGAAGAAUGGCUGUGAUUGGCCUUAUGACGCUCCCAGAGUGAUUAAUCCAGGCCGGUCCAAAACGCUAUAUGAUAAGAAAAACUGCUCAAAAAUUUCAAAAUAUACUAUUCGUAUUGAAAAUCCAAUCUUUUUCAUAAUAUGAGCUUUCCAGCAAGUGACACCGCAGUAUUUCUGCCUUUGUUUGAUAUUUAGUGAGAAACAAAGACCAAAUUACUGCUAUGUUAAUUUGUGUCUCUUACUGGAAAGCUCCCAAUAAAAUGACGACUAAAUAAUGAAAAAUUAAUAAUUCUAUUUUCAUAUUAUAAUUAAUAUAGUCUAAAAGCGACUUGUGGCCUUUUUUGCAUCAAGUCGUCGAGGUACAUUUUCAAAAGUGAUAUCACACUGGACGUGCAGUUCGAGUGUGGUGCUAUAGGGUGUAAACGCUACAGAAUUCUCGACACGUAAAGAACUAACCGCAUGAAAGAGACGAAGCCGUUUCAUUCCAUUAUUUUAUCGCUUUCAGAACGCAGCGGACGCAGGAUGGACCGGCGCGCGGCGCCGGGGCAAAUGUCGCGCCAUAUCUCGGUAAGUCAAAUCUACAUCGUAACUUGGGCUAAGUUCCCAGUCUUAACAUUGUGCUCAUGCAUAUUUUUCAUAUAUUGAACAAUAUGCGUUACUCGCAAAAAGACAGUCGCAUUAUCGAUUAUUCAUAUGGACAAUCGACAUGUAAGGACGCGUGUCCAGCGAUGUCAAUAUCGAAUCAUCUUUUUCACACCACCAUCGUGCUGCACGGAGAGGAUGGCUGGCAGCAAGAAUGCUGCAAAAGGAUUUGGCGAUUUGUUACUUUUGGCGCGUGAAGUUAACCGCGGGACGCGGCGUCACCUUUGACGCGUGAAGUUGACCGUGCGAGAGUGACGAAGCCGUUUCACUCCACCUUUCUGCGUGUCGCUGUUAGAACGUAACGGACGCAAGGUAAAUUGGCUUCGGAAUAAGUGGCAUCGCGAAUCUCUUAACCGAUUGUUGUAGAUCGCGGCAAGUAGUCUGACAUGCGACCGGUGCCGGAGGGCAAAUGUCGCGCCAUAUCUACUUGCUAAGUCAAAUCUGCAUCGUAACUUGGGCUAAAUCCCCAGUCUUUACUUUGCAUUUAUGGGCAAUACGCGUUACUCGCAAUAUCGGAAAAAGACAGCCGUCGCAUAAUCGAUUAUUAUAUUCGUGUGGGCAAUCGGGACAUGUAGGGACGCGUACCCAGCGAUGCCGAACGCGACGGACGCAGAAUGAACCGAUUCCGGAAAGAGUGGCAUCGCGAAUCACUUAAUUGAUCGUGGCAAUUCUGAUAUGGAUCGGUUUCGAGGCGGAUGACAUCGUGAUAUUUAUUUGAACGCGACAACAGAGUUGCCCCGAAUGACAUAGCAAAUUAUUUUUUAAUUGCAAGGAAGAAGA
Monomorium pharaonis (pharaoh ant) is the source of this 1528-nucleotide long non-coding RNA. RefSeq lists it as uncharacterized. The record is from RefSeq and is a predicted model, not a curated record. The transcript is spliced from 5 exons. Lineage: Eukaryota; Metazoa; Arthropoda; Insecta; Hymenoptera; Formicidae.